Dendroctonus ponderosae (mountain pine beetle) is the source of this 2387-nucleotide RNA transcript. It is a transcript of the gene named coiled-coil domain-containing protein 142, with no coding region annotated. The transcript has 3 exons. NCBI's taxonomy places the organism in Eukaryota, Metazoa, Arthropoda, Insecta, Coleoptera, Curculionidae. The record is from RefSeq and is a predicted model, not a curated record.
UUGUGGGUCCGUAGUCCAGUAUGUAGGUUGCCCUGUGGAUAUUGAGUUGAGUGAGAUAAGUGCUCUUCCUCUGGAUCCCCAUGAGGUGUGUUUAGCAAUGUAGUCGCCUCCGGCGAUGAAUUUUGGUCCUAGUGUUUUAAAAAAGUUGUCCAGAAUAUCGUGGUUGAGGAUGUGUCUCGGAGGGUAGUAGAUUGCUGAUAUAGUGAUUUGUCCCAUUGCUGUUUGGACAAUCACAGUAGUCGCUUGUAGAUAAUCAUGCUGACAUUUUUCGGAUUCGUGGUGCUUAAUGGUAUUUUUGAUGAUUAUUACUGAUUCUCCAUGGGCAGUUCCGUCUGGGUGUUUUGUGUGGUAUGUGAUGUUUCCGGUCACUUUGAAGUACGAUUUGUUUGUAAAGUGUGAUUCGGACACCAGAAGAAUAUCAAUAUGGUUGGUCUUUAGAAAGACUUCUAAUUCUUGUCGAUGUUGGCAUUCCAGAGUGCUAUGUGUAAGGCAUUACUGUCCUUUGAAGAUUUUUUUUAAUAUCGGGGUUAGUAGAUUGAGCAAGGUAGAUAGUUGUUCAGCUUGUUUGAUAAGGAUGAUUUCGAAUCUGUUGAAUGCCUGGGCGAUGUUGUCUGCAUUUGUAGUAUUGUUGGCUGGAGGGGUUCCUGUUACAACUUGUGCAUAGUUUCGACGGUCGUUUCCGGUUGUUGAAAUUCUUCUAUUAGUGGAGUUCUGGGAUGGUAGUUGAUGAUUGUUGGGCUCUGGGAAUAUGGUUCUAGUUUUUUUAACGUUAAUUCUUGGAUUUCCGUCUUUUGUUGUGUCAUUUUUGGGUUUCUGUAUCUCUUUAUAGACUGUACAUCCUUUGUAGUUUGCCGGGUGUCACCCGCUACAAAGGACGCAUGUUGCUGCUCUCCUGAGCAUUUUACACAUCGGUGUGGUCUAUUGCAGCACCCUUUUGUCUGUCAAUAUAUUUGACAUCUUGUGCAGGUAGUUUCACACGUUUGUUUGGCCUUGUGAUCGUUUGCCACUGUUCUCCGUCUACCUGGUCUCGGACGAAUACCAAGUUUGUAACGGUUAAAAAUAGAAUUUAGCCAAUGGCCUGUCUGCUAAUCCGUUGUUCAAAUGUAUGUAGUAAUAAGUUAUAAUAGUAAUAAGCUAUUUUUGUCAACCGAUUUUCAUUUGUAACUUGGAUUUAGUAAGCACCUUUAUCAGAUUAGAUUAGUUAUAUUUUGGGGAUUAUUUCAAUUUUGAUGUUUGGUGAUUUGUAUAUCUCUCCCAAACAUCAGCAGUCUUUAUCAUGGGUUUGUCUGGCAACGUGGUGGUUACCCCACCUUCACGGACCACCGUUAUUGAUGGAAAUGGACGAGGAGUGGACCCAGCAGGGUCACCGAGCAAAGGGGAAUCACGUACCAGAGAAUGCUGAACAUAGUCGAUCACCGUCAGCUUGACCUCUGAAUCCGCCUUAUUCUGCUCUGUGAUAGAUCUGCCCGCUACUUGAAUAUCCGUUUGGGGACAUCACCCGCCUCCCGGUUCCCGUCUGGGGAUAUUGAUUCACUGAAAUUGUGGACUGGGUAGCCAGGGGCGAUCUGGAUGAGAUCUGGACCUAGCACGUAGGCGUCGGCAGCACGUGGCGGCGACUUCGGGGACUUGCUGGUGUUUGGGAUAAAAUGUUAACUCCAGUGCUACAAUACACCGAUAAUGAUGUCAUAUGCAACAUGAUUCUCACGUUGCUAUGUGAAUCUUGGUUGGAUCAUAUUUACAACCACAAAGUAAAAUUUUCGCGAUUUGGGGCCUUUCAGGUCCUCUGCGAUUUUGCGUACGUCGGCAUAUGGAUACAAGAAUGUACUUUCAUCAGCAAAAACAUGAAAAUUGAACUGACGAAAAACGAAGUUUUGCGCCGAUGUGAAGGAGUGGGCAGAUUACUUCUUAGAUACCCUGGAGAAAAGCUGAAAAUGGUGGACCCAAAGUUGCUGAAAAAGUCAGAAGCUGAGACACUAACGUAUCAUCAACAGAUGCCCGCUGAAAUGUAUGUUCCCAACCAAGAGCAAUGGCUGGAGUUGAAAGCUGAAAGACAAAACCGUGCUUUUAAUUCAGUAUGUUAAGUAGAAUAGGUUCAGCAUAACAUGUUGAAAUAUGUAAAGUUGGAUCCAGCUAAAGAGCUUGAAUUCACAAUACUAUGCAGGCGCUCAAAUUAUAUACUUGACGCGGUGCUGUGCCAAGUUCUUUCUGGAAUAUUAUAAGGUGUUAAUGGUUGUUUAACAUACCCUGAUGCAAACUUCUCACAUAUUGUAGAUUUUGGGAUGAAUUCCUCAAUGUUCUGACAGAUUAAGGCGCAGUUCUGCAUGGGAAUAGUUUAGAUGUAAGUCCAUAUUUAUGAAAGUGGUCUAAGUAAAAAUUUGAAAAAUAAA